This is a long non-coding RNA of Cavia porcellus (domestic guinea pig), 1473 nucleotides long. RefSeq lists it as uncharacterized. NCBI's taxonomy places the organism in Eukaryota, Metazoa, Chordata, Mammalia, Rodentia, Caviidae. The record is from RefSeq and is a predicted model, not a curated record. The transcript has 2 exons.
CGCUCUAGGCGCCUGGCGUCUCUAUGGCGCGGGACAAAGAUGGCGGCGCCGGGGCCGCUCUGGCCCCCGGCGGGUCCUGGGCUUUGUGGAUUUGCUGGCGUGGGGGAUGACGCGAGCCAAAGAAGCCAAAUCCUUUUCAGGCAGGCACUGUGCCACCGAGGCGUACCCCCCCGCCCGAAGUUGAUAUUUUAGUGAAGACAAAUCUUUAUUUGUACGUAGAAAUUGGAAGUGACGAGAAUAGCAGAGGCUGUUCCACGAGUGAAGAGGACAGCAUUUGAGGUGCCGAGAGUCGCGCUUUAGGGGUGGAAGGCCACCGUGCUGGAGUCUUCAGGCCUCAUCGAUGUAAAGGAAGUUUGCUGUGGUGCCCCUCUCCCUUCUCCUCCUGUGUCUGCAGUCUCACUGGCCACCUCCACCUCGUGUCACAGCCUGGACCCCGCUCUCCGUGGAGUGCCCUCUCUUGCCAGUAUUGCUGAGCAGACCACGCCAGGCUUGUGUGAGAUGCCCAGAGUGCGUGGCCCCCCGCAGCCUGCAGUCUCCCCGUGCCCGGGGCCUCUUGGUUCUCAGACUGUCUCCUUUGGUGUCUUUUGGAAUUGCCGGAGCCCCUAUUCAGACUUCUGACACAUUUCUAUUUUCUCUGUUUUUACUUCUUCCCUCCUGUUGCAUGUCUUUGUGUUCUUCCCACUGGCCUUUAUCUCUCCCCUCUUGCCGACCCUAGUGUGUCAGGAUGCUGUCACUCUUGGACAAUGAAGUGACAGAAAGUCACACUUAGUCCAGAACAUCUAGGGCGUAAACCAUCAACCGAAUGUGAUUCAUGAAUCUUUCGCUUCUGUUCCUUUUCUCAAGACUUAGUAAAAGAAUGAGGGUAGUUAUGCCAAGGUACACUUAGGGAUCUAUGAACCUUACUUUCAUUCCAAGUUACAUGGGAAAUGUGUGUACCUCUAAAGCAGAACUUGGAGGAAGAAUCAGGCUUUCUCAAGCAGUUUCUCCCGUUUCACAGUUAUGCUUCCAGAUUGCUCCUCACAGCUGCUGCCCCUGUUACAGAUAAGGUACGUAACAAAGCUCUUACAGAGUCCUGUCAGAGUGUCCAGGUUCCUCAGGAGUCUGCUUUCCUUCAAGGCUGACCUCUGCUCUGGUACUGAUAAGUAGACCAUUAUGCUGUGUAGAUGGAGCCCUGUGACAUCUUAGAAACUGUUUUCUCUCAAGAAGUGCAGAUAAGGUAGAUAACUAUGUUUCUAUGAACACAGUCUUGUGACACCCUGAACUCCCCUAGAACUGUUUUUCUUUCAUGGCUAAGCUGAGCUCUGUCACUGAGUAAAUAACUGUCUCUGUCUUUUUCGGGCCAGCCCCCUUGACCAAAUGUGUAAAGACUGGAGCCUUUCCUUUGUCCGAUGCUCAGCUGUUUUGAACAUACCAAAGUGCCAGCUGAGCUCAUGUGCUCCUAAAAUCCUUAAAUAAAAUCCCGUUUUCCCCGUU